AUUACGGGGUGCAGCAGGCGCGAAACCUUGUCAAUGCACGAAAGUGUGAACAGGAGAUCCUGAGUGCUCAUGCUUUGCAUGGGCUUUUGCCAAGAGUUAAUAUCUUGGCGAAUAAGUGGUGGGAAAGACUGGUGCCAGCCGCCGCGGUAACACCAGCGCCACGAGUGGUAACCGCGUUUAUUGGGCCUAAAGCGUCCGUAGCUGGUUUGGUAAAUCUUUUGUGAAAUUGUACGGCUCAACCGAACAACGUGCAAGAGAGACUGCCAAACUCGAGACCGGGAGGAGUCAGAAGUAUUCCUGAGGGAGCGGUAAAAUGUUAUAAUCUCAGGAGGACUACCUGAGGCGAAGGCGUCUGACUAGAACGGAUCUGACAGUGAGGGACGAAAGCCAGGGGAGCGAACCGGAUUAGAUACCCGAGUAGUCCUGGCCGUAAACGCUGUGAGCUAGGUGUUGCACCAGCUACAUGUUGGUGCAGUGUCGAAACGAAGGUGUUAAGCUCACCGCCUGGGAAGUACGGUCGCAAGACUGAAACUUUAAGGAAUUGGCGGGGGAGCACAAU
RNAcentral lists this ribosomal RNA (559 nucleotides) under uncultured archaeon. RNAcentral's name for it is "bacterial SSU rRNA". It matches the Rfam family "Archaeal small subunit ribosomal RNA", at positions 322 to 882 of the family's 1478-position model. The record is from RNAcentral.